GUGCUUACUUUGGCAGCACAUAUACUAUAAUUGGAAUGAUGCAGAGAAGAUUAGCAUGAUCACUGAGCAAGGAUGACAUGAAAAACUAUUUUAAAAAAACGAAACAAAA
Small nuclear RNA from Mustela lutreola (European mink), 109 nucleotides. Lineage: Eukaryota; Metazoa; Chordata; Mammalia; Carnivora; Mustelidae. The record is from RefSeq and is a predicted model, not a curated record.